GCAUGAAGUCGGAACUGCUAGUAAUCGCGGAUCAGCAUGCCGCGGUGAAUACGUUCCCGGGCCUUGUACACACCGCCCGUCACACCAUGGGAGCCGGUAAUACCCGAAGUCAGUGACCCAACCAAUUAGGAGGGAGCUGCCGAAGGCGGGACCGAUAACUGGGGUGAAGUCGUAACAAGGUACC
Molecule: ribosomal RNA, 184 nt
Filed under: uncultured bacterium
Lineage: Bacteria
Description: partial 16S ribosomal RNA
Rfam family: Bacterial small subunit ribosomal RNA
Source: RNAcentral